RNAcentral lists this ribosomal RNA (551 nucleotides) under uncultured bacterium. RNAcentral's name for it is "partial 16S ribosomal RNA". It matches the Rfam family "Bacterial small subunit ribosomal RNA", at positions 356 to 921 of the family's 1533-position model. The record is from RNAcentral.
GGGGAAUAUUGCACAAUGGGCGAAAGCCUGAUGCAGCAACGCCGCGUGAGUGAUGAAGGUCUUCGGAUUGUAAAGCUCUGUCUUUUGGGACGAUAAUGACGGUACCAAAGGAGGAAGCCACGGCUAACUACGUGCCAGCAGCCGCGGUAAUACGUAGGUGGCGAGCGUUGUCCGGAUUUACUGGGCGUAAAGGGUGCGUAGGCGGAUGUUUAAGUGAGAUGUGAAAUACCCGGGCUUAACUUGGGUGCUGCAUUUCAAACUGGAUAUCUAGAGUGCAGGAGAGGAGAAUGGAAUUCCUAGUGUAGCGGUGAAAUGCGUAGAGAUUAGGAAGAACACCAGUGGCGAAGGCGAUUCUCUGGACUGUAACUGACGCUGAGGCACGAAAGCGUGGGUAGCAAACAGGAUUAGAUACCCUGGUAGUCCACGCCGUAAACGAUGAGUACUAGGUGUAGGAGGUAUCGACCCCUUCUGUGCCGCAGUAAACACAUUAAGUACUCCGCCUGGGAAGUACGAUCGCAAGAUUAAAACUCUAAAGUGAAUUGACGGGGGUC